RNAcentral lists this ribosomal RNA (253 nucleotides) under uncultured bacterium. Its description in RNAcentral is "partial 16S ribosomal RNA". It matches the Rfam family "Bacterial small subunit ribosomal RNA", at positions 524 to 776 of the family's 1533-position model. The record is from RNAcentral.
UACGUAGGGGGCAAGCGUUGUCCGGAAUCAUUGGGCGUAAAGAGCGUGUAGGCGGCCCGAUAAGUCCGCUGUGAAAGUCCAGGGCUCAACCCUGGGAUGCCGGUGGAUACUGUCGGGCUCGAGUCCGGAAGAGGAGUGUGGAAUUCCUGGUGUAGCGGUGGAAUGCGCAGAUAUCAGGAGGAACACCGGUGGCGAAGGCGGGUCUCUGGGCCGAUACUGACGCUGAGAAGCGAAAGCGUGGGGAGCGAACAGG